GACGAACGCUGGCGGCGCGCUUAACACAUGCAAGUCGAGCGAGAAGCUUUUAAAGGAUUCUUCGGAUGAAUUUAAAAGUGGAAAGCGGCGGACGGGUGAGUAACGCGUGAGAAACCUACCCUGCACAGGGGGAUAGCCAUUGGAAACGAUGAUUAAUACCCUAUAUGACCACAAUGCCGCAUGGCAUAGUGGUAAAAAACUCCCGGUGGUGCAGGAUGGUCUCGCGUCUGAUUAGCUAGUUGGUGAGGUAACGGCUCACCAAGGCGACGAUCAGUAGCCGGCCUGAGAGGGUGAACGGCCACAAGGGGACUGAGACACGGCCCUU
Molecule: ribosomal RNA, 325 nt
Filed under: uncultured bacterium
Lineage: Bacteria
Description: bacterial SSU rRNA
Rfam family: Bacterial small subunit ribosomal RNA
Source: RNAcentral